AAAAAAAAACAGAAAAUGAAUAAAUAAUGCUAGAGUUGGUGAGAUGGCUUAGUGGGUAAAGGCGUUGUCAGUAAACCUGACAAGCUGAAUUCAAUUCCUGGAACCCACAUAAAGAUGCAAGGAAUGACAUGACUCCUGACGUGUCCUCUGACUUACAGACACAUGCUGUGUACACACAUCCCCACCCCACCCCACAGAGCAUUCACACCAAUACUGACGUACGGACAUGUGCUGUGUACACACAUCCCCUCCCCACAAGCAUUCAUACCAGCACCCGUCCACGCAAAAAUAAAUGAACAAGUAAUGUUUUAAAAAAUGAAUGCCAGAGUUGGGCAUGACAAUACAACCUUGAAAACCCCAGCAGGUGGGAGGCAGAGCGGGUGGAUGUCUAUGAGUUCAAGGGCAGCCUGGCCUACAUCAUGCGUUCCAGUCCCACCAGCGCUAUAUAGUAAGACCCUGUCUCAAAAUAAUAGUAAUAAACUUUAAAUUAUUAUUUCU
This 498-nucleotide long non-coding RNA is filed under the name Mus musculus (house mouse). RNAcentral's name for it is "long non-coding RNA chr5:130131326-130131824". Lineage: Eukaryota; Metazoa; Chordata; Mammalia; Rodentia; Muridae. The record is from RNAcentral.